RNAcentral lists this long non-coding RNA (451 nucleotides) under Mytilus galloprovincialis (Mediterranean mussel). The record is from RNAcentral. Lineage: Eukaryota; Metazoa; Mollusca; Bivalvia; Mytilida; Mytilidae.
GCCUGAUGUUCAUAUGAUGAAAUCGUAAUCUUUCAGUCAGUUUAAUUGAAGUCUGGAGCUGGCAUGUCAGUUAGCUGCUAGUAGUCUGUUGUUAUUUAUGUAUUAUUGUCAUUUUGUUUAUUUUCUUUGGUUACAUCUUCUGACAUCAGACUCGGACUUCUCUUGAACUGAAUUUUAAUUUGCGUAUCGUUAUGCGUUUACUUUUCUACAUUGGCUAGAGGUAUAGGGGGAGGGUUGAAAUCUCAUAAACAUGUUUAACCCCGCCGCAUUUUUGCGCCUGUCCCAAGUCAGGAGCCUCUGGCCUUUGUUUGUCUUGUGUUAUUUUAAUUUUAGUUUCUUGUGUACAAUUUGGAAAUUAGUAUGGCGUUCAUUAUCACUGAACUAGUAUAUAUUUGUUUAGGGGCCAGCUGAAGGACGCCUCCGGGUGCGGGAAUUUCUCGCUAUAUUGAAG